AACGAACGCUGGCGGCGUGCCUAACACAUGCAAGUCGAGCGGGAAAGUUCCCUUCGGGGAGCGAGUACAGCGGCGAACGGGUGAGUAACACGUAGGUAACCUACCCUGGAGACUGGGAUAACCUGCCGAAAGGCGGGCUAAUACUAGAUAAGACCACGAGGGCUGCGGUCCUUGCGGGAAAAGGUGGCCUCUACUUGUAAGCUACCACUUCAGGAUGGGCCUGCGCGCCAUUAGCUAGUUGGUGAGGUAACGGCUCACCAAGGCCGAGAUGGCUAGCUGGUCUGAGAGGAUGGCCAGCCACACUGGGACUGAGACACGGCCCAGACUCCUACGGGAGGCAGCAGUGGGGAAUCUUGCGCAAUGGGCGAAAGCCUGACGCAGCGACGCCGCGUGGGUGAUGAAGGCCUUCGGGUCGUAAAGCCCUGUCAAGAGGGACGAAACCUCGCCGACCUAAUAUGUCGGCGACCUGACGGUACCUCUGAAGGAAGCACCGGCUAACUCCGUGCCAGCAGCCGCGGUAAUACGGAGGGUGCGAGCGUUGUUCGGAAUUACUGGGCGUAAAGCGCGUGUAGGCGGCCUCCUCAGUCUGGUGUGAAAGCCCGGGGCUCACCCCCGGAAGUGCAUUGGAUACUGGGAGGCUGGAGUACCGGAGAGGAGGGUGGAAUUCCUGGUGUAGCGGUGAAAUGCGUAGAUAUCAGGAGGAACACCGGUGGCGAAGGCGGCCCUCUGGACGGAUACUGACGCUGAGACGCGAAAGCGUGGGGAGCAAACAGGAUUAGAUACCCUGGUAGUCCACGCCGUAAACGAUGGGCACUAGGUGUUCGGGGUAUUGACCCCCUGAGUGCCGCAGCUAACGCAUUAAGUGCCCCGCCUGGGGAAUACGGCCGCAAGGUUAAAACUCAAAGGAAUUGACGGGGGCCCGCACAAGCGGUGGAGCAUGUGGUUUAAUUCGACGCAACGCGAAGAACCUUACCUGGGCUAGACAUCUCCUGAAUUACCCGUAACUGGGGAAGCUCUUCGGAGCAGGAAGACAGGUGGUGCAUGGUUGUCGUCAGCUCGUGUCGUGAGAUGUUGGGUUAAGUCCCGCAAUGAGCGCAACCCUUAUCGUUAGUUGCUACCAUUAAGUUGAGCACUCUAGCGAGACUGCCCGGGUUAACCGGGAGGAAGGUGGGGAUGACGUCAAAUCAUCAUGCCCCUUAUGUCUAGGGCUACACACGUGCUACAAUGGUGAGGACAAAGAGACGCAAGACCGCGAGGUGGAGCAAAUCUCACAAACCUCAUCCCAGUUCGGAUUGCAGGCUGAAACUCGCCUGCAUGAAGCCGGAGUUGCUAGUAAUCGCGAAUCAGCAUGUCGCGGUGAAUACGUUCCCGGGCCUUGUACACACCGCCCGUCACACCAUGAGAGUUGGCAAUACCCGAAGUCCGUGGGGUAACCGUAAGGAGCCAGCGGCCGAAGGUAGGGUCAGCGAUUGGGGUGAAGUCGUAACAAGGUAGCC
Molecule: ribosomal RNA, 1496 nt
Filed under: uncultured bacterium
Lineage: Bacteria
Description: partial 16S ribosomal RNA
Rfam family: Bacterial small subunit ribosomal RNA
Source: RNAcentral